RNAcentral lists this long non-coding RNA (251 nucleotides) under Elaeis guineensis (African oil palm). RNAcentral's name for it is "long non-coding RNA (EGUI_LNC071843)". Lineage: Eukaryota; Viridiplantae; Streptophyta; Magnoliopsida; Arecales; Arecaceae. The record is from RNAcentral.
GCGCGGCCGAGUUUCGCCACCAUCGUUGCCCCUUGCUGCAGAAGUGACGAUUAGAGCCCGGCUCCCGUAGGAGUUUGGGUGAAAUCUUUCCUGGCGACGGAACCCGGCUCCCGUAGGAGUCCGGGCGAAGUCUUGCUUGGCGGUGGAACCCGGCUCCCAUAGGAGUCCGGGCGAAGUCUUGCUUGGCGGCGGAACCCGGCUCCCGUAGGAGUCCGGGUGAAGUCUUGUUUGGCGGCGGAACCCGGCUCCCG